UCCGUUUUCCGGGGCCUGUCCGGAAGUGUGCGCUGAGCGGGUGCGGUCCGGGCCAAUGCCGGGGGGCUCAGGCCUGGUGGCUCGGGCAGCCUGCUGGGCCCAGACAUUGGGUUCCGGAAGGGUAAGCCCCGGAACGUGGAGCCUGCACCCAGCAGCCUGUGGCGACAGCCUGUGUGUCGGCCAUCUCCCCCCCGGGGAGGGGUCUUCCUGGGAGACGCCUGGGUGUGGUGCUCCCUGCCCCUCGAGUGUUCCUCCGGGCGCCAGAGCCUGUCCGACAUCCGCGGCCUGCUUCCCGCCAGCUGGCUAAGAGCCUGAGCUGCUCUCGACGCCCUCGCCGGGGACCGAAUGCCCGCGUCCUCGAGCGUCGCGAGCUAAGCCCUGACCUGCAGCGUGAGUGGGCUUGGGGGUGGGACGUGAUUAGUGAUUAAGGCUACAGUGAGGUUAUGGAGUCGGGCUGUGACCAGGCCAGACCCAUGUCCCUAGCAGGGCGGGGACGCCUGGGCUGGGCUUUCCCUCCCCGCUGCCCGCAGCAAAGAUAGGCCACUGGAGGGCGCGGCAAGGUGGGGUGUCUUCAAGUACUGGGGAGACGCUUCACCAGAAACCACUCUGCUGGCACCUCGGUCUUGGACUUCAGCCUCCAGCACCGUGAGAGGUAAGUGACGGCUGUGCAGGUGACGCGCCGCACGGUGUUUGUCAUGCCGUCAGAGCAGACUGAGGAGCCAUUCCCCUCACCCACGGCCGCUCCGAGCCGCCCUUCUCCCAUCGACACCAGCCCCCGCCCUCCAGCUGGAAAAGCCUCCUGUCCCCUGAACCAAGCUCGGUGAAGCACCUGGUUCAGAUCCUGUCCCAGGCGGAGAGGGGGGCGGUCACCUGAAGCAGGACGGGUGUGCGCCAGAGCCAGGAAGGUGCUUGCGCUUGGUAAGUGUAACCAGAAGCAAUAAUGUCUUGCUUUGCACUUGCGCACGGGCAGACACACUCGUGCACAUCAGACAAGCUUGUGCAUGGAUGGACACGCUUGUGCACAAGCAGACAAAUUUGUGCAUGGGUAGGCAUGCUUGUGCAGGGAAGACACACUUGUGCACGGGCAGACACGCUUCUUAAAGUGCAUCAGCUGGUGUCAGUAAUGUAGCUGAACCCCCUUUAUUUUGCAGGAAAGGAGAAUUCUCCUCGUGUGUAGCUGAGAAGCCCGCUCAGGUGACAGAUUCAGGGUCCUCAGACUGUGGCUUCAUGGUCAGGCGUCCAUGGCCCCAAGUCCAUUGCUAAGAUGAAUGCUGCCCUUUUAAACGAUGAAUAACUAUGUAAGAAUAAUUAUUCUGUGGAGCCAGAGUACCACAUGAAUAUUUUCCCCAGAAUACUUUCCAAACACCCUUAGAAAAUAGGAAUUUGUGAGAAACCUUUGAGGAUGGACAUAACUGAGGAGUUGCUUCCUGGAUUUUAAUUUUCUUUCAAGAUUGUGGAAUUUCGAGUUUGGUGAUCGGAGUUCAGGUUCCUACUGACUGAUCUCAGCGCAUUGUUGAGCGUGGUCCUGCGGACCGGGAACCGGAGGUGGCGAGACAGAGCCCCUCCUGCAGAGGCCCCGCGAUGCCCGGUGACUGGGGAGCCCAGACGCUGGCCUCCACUUCCCUAGGGGCUUCCUGGGGCGGCUGUGACCAAGCUCCCCGCACGGAGCCGCUCGAACCGCAGGAUCCGCUGUCUCCCAGCUCUGCAGCCGCAAGUCUGAGGUCGAGGCGUCUGCAGGACUGGCUCGGUCUGAGGCCCGUCUCCACCUCGGAGUGGCUUCCUGUCCUGGUGCUCUUUGGCCUGUGGACACGCUGCUCCCAUCUCUGUCCCCAUGUGCACAUGGUCUUCUCCCUGUGUGCUCAUCUGUCGGUCCGAAUGCCCAGAUUUGCCCUUGUUGUAAGGACGCGGUCUCACUGGGUUCGGGGUCCAUCCAACUCGACCAUCGGCAGACUCUUCCCAGGUACGGUCCAUGCACAGGUGCAGGGGCUUCGCCAGCUUCCGAGGGCCACAGCUCAAUCUAGGAUAACUGUCGGGGUUAUUGCUGGCUCCCCUGUGGGGGCUUUGCCACCAAACCCGCAACAGCUGACGAAGGCGGGAGGCAGGGUCUGUACCCUGGGCGCGGCUGUCCAGGGGACACGAGGUGGCCUCAUCUGCCCGCGUGAGGCCUGCAUAGGUCAGGGUCAAAUAAGACUGUGAACCUCACGGACAGUUUGGGGUCUCGAUGUCAGAGAACCAUCCCAGACGCUCCCAUGGCCACGGACACGUCUCUAACCACAGCGAGCAAUCACGGAAACGUCCCCGCUGAGGAACAUGGGACAGUAGCACAAGACACACAGUUGCAGCCCCAGUGAUUAAGGAAGUAUGAGGCAGCCCUCCGCCAGUUUUGCGAAAAUGGUAUUUUGCAGGAUAGUGUGGAAGAUGGAAAGACACCUGGUCCUGAUAUAUCGUGUUGGGAAAAUUGUGCCAGGAAAGCAGGAACACUGGAGGGAUUUGUGUGGUGUCUCGGGGUCAUCACAUAAUUGUGAGUGUAGCUUAUAUUCCGUGUAAAAUAAAUUAUAAUAAAUCUGGGGCACCUGAGUGGCUCAGUUA
Long non-coding RNA from Hyaena hyaena (striped hyena), 2589 nucleotides. RefSeq lists it as uncharacterized. The record is from RefSeq and is a predicted model, not a curated record. The transcript has 2 exons. Lineage: Eukaryota; Metazoa; Chordata; Mammalia; Carnivora; Hyaenidae.